UUUUAGAAUGAUACUGUUAUCAGUUAUCUCGCGCACUUUCAAUCAAAAGUCUGUCAGUGUGAGAUCGUGGAUUUUUGUCACGCUCUGGCUGACUUCCUAAAUGUAUUUUGCUUUGCAUUCGAACAAAAUAUACAUAUAUCACAUUUCCAAACGCAGUUGCACAAACUUUGAUAGAGUAUCGUAUUCCUAAUGGCAACGCUACGCAAUAAAUGCACAAAAAAAGCAAUCAACGCAUCACUAAAUUUGUUGAUGCCAUUGUUCAAUACAAUAGCGACCGAAGAAGAAAGGAAGUCAGCCUCUCUUCCAUCGUAUCUGUUUUCGGGGUAUCUUCGAGUGGCUCAUCAUAAAUAAAGGUGCGAGACCACGCCGAAACUCAUUAAACCACAUUUGCACGGUUGCCAUCGAAGGAGAAUAGUCAUCUUAAACAUCUUGGAUGCUGGCUAUUUGAUAUCACCAACUAUGCCGUCUACCAGUAUGUACUAUACGAUGGAAAAUUUAUCUUGCGCUGUUAACGCCAUUGGGUAUUAUAAGGUUAAGUACUUAUCAGGCCUCGACGUAUGUUUGGACGUACCCAGCAGGCAAACCCGGAAUAAGUUGAGCAAAACUCCAAGUUCAAAUUAUAAUAAUGUUGGUCAUAUCACUUGUCAGCAUUUAUACUGUCUCUCGGUUUACACUGUACGGUACGAUAACCGAGACGCACUGUCAUACAUAUGUAUAUAGAUAUCUCGACUUUUAAAUCUAAAUUUUUGUUGCACAGAGUUUUCUAAAGUGAUGCAUUCCAAAGCAAACAACUUUGAAGUUUAUUUUUAGUAAAUUUUGCGAAAUGUUUAAAAAUUGUACAUGUGUGUGGAAUAAACUAACUUUCGGCACGUUUCUGUGUGAAUUUCCAUAUUUGAAAUGGGAUUAUUAAUUAAUUGCUUCUAAAAAAGGACCCUUUAUCAUCUUAUGUACAAAUACACUUGAAUUUCAGGCCGUGACAAUAUCUCCAUAUGGUGAUGUUUAAGAUAAUAAUUCAAUUAGUUUAAUCGUCAAUGUACUCAACUUUACAUGUAAGUACAUA
Molecule: long non-coding RNA, 1060 nt
Organism: Zeugodacus cucurbitae (melon fly)
Lineage: Eukaryota; Metazoa; Arthropoda; Insecta; Diptera; Tephritidae
Exons: 2
Source: RefSeq, a predicted model, not a curated record